Molecule: long non-coding RNA, 431 nt
Organism: Lepidothrix coronata (blue-crowned manakin)
Lineage: Eukaryota; Metazoa; Chordata; Aves; Passeriformes; Pipridae
Exons: 3
Source: RefSeq, a predicted model, not a curated record
CUGAAAGUCACCUACAGACCCUCACUGCUCCCCAAGAACAGCGUGUAGCUGCAAGGAAGACGAAGGACUGGUGAGUGUCACCUCCACCUCCGCAAUUCCCGUACGGCUGAUGAGCGGCGGGAUGGCUCCGUGCCUUCCUCACUGAACUACUGAAGCCAAUAAUGAACAUAAAUACUUACAUAACAUAAAAAAAAACCAACUUGCAGGAUUUUAAAGCAACCACAGACAUCUUGCAGCUAAGACAAUGUUAGUUUUUAAUGAAAGUAAUUCUGUUGCUAUCCCAAGAGAUGUUAGAAUGAAAGAGCAAGAGGGAAGGAACAGAUUUGCUUUUUGUUAGAGGCAAGGCCUUUGAACAUUGUUAAUGUUCAGGGUUACAGGUUUUAAUGGCACUGUGCAGAAGAAGAAGGAAAACAUGAGUAAAGUUCAUUAAU